RNAcentral lists this long non-coding RNA (272 nucleotides) under Elaeis guineensis (African oil palm). RNAcentral describes it as "long non-coding RNA (EGUI_LNC013121)". The record is from RNAcentral. Lineage: Eukaryota; Viridiplantae; Streptophyta; Magnoliopsida; Arecales; Arecaceae.
ACAAAAUAAUUGAGUGAGGCGAUCCUUUCGAUGAGGUGCUGGAUUUUCUUUACAUUUCUUGAUGGAGAUAUCUCCAGAAUUGCCUUAAUCUUCUCUAGAUUUACCUCAAUUUCUCAUCAGGAGACUAUAAAUCUGAGAAAUUUUUCAGAGCUAACUCCGAAAGUAUAUUUUGUGGGAUUCAACCGCAUCUAGAAUUGACAUAGGCUAUUGAAGGUUUCAUGAUGGUUGGCUAUGUGAUCUGGGAUGGCUCGACUUUUUACUAACAUAUCAUC